Molecule: ribosomal RNA, 492 nt
Filed under: Vibrionaceae bacterium AKB-2008-4218F
Lineage: Bacteria; Pseudomonadati; Pseudomonadota; Gammaproteobacteria; Vibrionales; Vibrionaceae
Description: bacterial SSU rRNA
Rfam family: Bacterial small subunit ribosomal RNA
Source: RNAcentral
AGAGUUUGAUCCUGGCUCAGAUUGAACGCUGGCGGCAGGCCUAACACAUGCAAGUCGAGCGGCAGCACAGAGGAACUUGUUCCUUGGGUGGCGAGCGGCGGACGGGUGAGUAAUGCCUAGGAAAUUGCCCUGAUGUGGGGGAUAACCAUUGGAAACGAUGGCUAAUACCGCAUGAUGCCUACGGGCCAAAGAGGGGGACCUUCGGGCCUCUCGCGUCAGGAUAUGCCUAGGUGGGAUUAGCUAGUUGGUGAGGUAAUGGCUCACCAAGGCGACGAUCCCUAGCUGGUCUGAGAGGAUGAUCAGCCACACUGGAACUGAGACACGGUCCAGACUCCUACGGGAGGCAGCAGUGGGGAAUAUUGCACAAUGGGCGCAAGCCUGAUGCAGCCAUGCCGCGUGUAUGAAGAAGGCCUUCGGGUUGUAAAGUACUUUCAGUCGUGAGGAAGGURGUGUAGUUAAUAGCAUGCAUCUAUUUGACGUAGCGACAGAAGA